This 633-nucleotide long non-coding RNA is filed under the name Triticum aestivum (bread wheat). RNAcentral's name for it is "long non-coding RNA (TAES_LNC007115)". Lineage: Eukaryota; Viridiplantae; Streptophyta; Magnoliopsida; Poales; Poaceae. The record is from RNAcentral.
CAUUUGUGUUGUUGUUGACGCCGUUUUUUCUCUCCGCGCUGACAAGUUGACUGGGAUUCUGAAUUUCUUGAGGUGGUUCUUCACUGUGCUCAAACAAGCCGCAAAGCAUACUAAUUUGAGAUUUUACUGCACUAAAUUCAUCAAAAUCAACAACAAAAGUGGAUUGUCUCACUGCAGGCCGCGGAGACAUCUAGUUCAUUUUUUACACAGUGGACUGAACGAAAAUGCCAGGCGAACUCCACAGUCGAGGCGCAAGUACUGCAAAUAGAGCUGCACACAGGUAAAAUCCUUAGUCGUCCACAAAUCAUGCAUGCCUUUUCGUUUGUAGACCAGUUUUCGAACUACAAGAAGAUAAGUUGGCUGAACCUCAUGCCGGGGGCACCAAACAAACUGCAAAGAGGAAUUAACGAGCUGCAUUAGAAAUUUUACUGCACUGAAUUCACAGUGCACUGAACGGAAACCGUUCUGCACACCUAGGAGGGAGGGAAGGGAAGGGGCGGCGGAUGGAUCUUGGCAAGAUGGGGGUCACCAGUACCCGCGAACCACAAGUCACACACCAUCGUACUCCUCGUCGUUUUUGUCAGCUCCACCGCACUGUACAUCUACGCACCGCCGAACUGCACACAGGAAACG